CAGUCGCCGCGGUAAUACGGAGGGUGCAAGCGUUAAUCGGAAUUACUGGGCGUAAAGCGCACGCAGGCGGUUUGUUAAGUCAGAUGUGAAAUCCCCGAGCUUAACCUGGGAACUGCAUUUGAAACUGGCAAGCUAGAGUCUUGUAGAGGGGGGUAGAAUUCCAGGUGUAGCGGUGAAAUGCGUAGAGAUCUGGAGGAAUACCGGUGGCGAAGGCGGCCCCCUGGACAAAGACUGACGCUCAGGUGCGAAAGCGUGGGGAGCAAACAGGAUUAGAUACCCCUGUAGUCCCUGUCUCUUAUAC
Molecule: ribosomal RNA, 301 nt
Filed under: uncultured bacterium
Lineage: Bacteria
Description: partial 16S ribosomal RNA
Rfam family: Bacterial small subunit ribosomal RNA
Source: RNAcentral